GGCCCCGUAGCCUAGCCUGGAAGGGCGGCGGCCUUCGGAGCCGCAGGUCCCGGGUUCAAAUCCCGGCGGGGCCG
Molecule: transfer RNA, 74 nt
Filed under: Thermoprotei archaeon
Lineage: Archaea; Thermoproteati; Thermoproteota; Thermoprotei
Also listed under: 1 other name
Description: tRNA-Arg
Rfam family: tRNA
About the family: Transfer RNA (tRNA) molecules are approximately 80 nucleotides in length. Their secondary structure includes four short double-helical elements and three loops (D, anti-codon, and T loops).
Source: RNAcentral